UAACAGGUCUGUGGCAAUAACAGGUCUGUGGCAUAACAGGUCUGUGGGAAUUACAGGACUGUGGCUAUAACAGGUCUGCGAGGAAUGCCUAUCUGGCGCAAGUCAUCGUCUUGCGUUGAUUACGUCCCUGCCCUUUGUACACACCGCCCGUCGCUCCUACCGAUUGGGUGUGCUGGUGAAGUGUUCGGAUUGGCAGCUUAGGGUGGCAACACCUCAGGUCUGCCGAGAAGUUCAUUAAACCCUCCCACCUAGAGGAAGGAGAAGUCGUAACAAGGUUUCCGUAGGUGAACCUGCGGAAGGAUCAUUGAAUUAUUAAAACCACAAUGCGAACCUAUCUGUUCCGUGCCUUAGCUGCCAGCAAGGCAAUUGGCUUGCCCAAUUGUACUUGCAAGCUGGUGCGAGUAAUUUGAUUACUUGCAUCAGUGGCGCUUUGGCAUGCUUAUACACCAGUGCUAACCACUGUCAAAACCAAACUCUGAAGCUUUGAUUGCUAUUAACUGGCAAUCUUAACCAAAGACAACUCUCAACAACGGAUAUCUUGGCUCUCGCAACGAUGAAGAACGCAGCGAAAUGCGAUACGUAGUGUGAAUUGCAGAAUUCCGUGAACCAUCGAAUCUUUGAACGCAUAUUGCGCUCGAGCCCUCGGGCAAGAGCAUGUCUGCCUCAGCGUCGGUUUAUACCCUCACCCCUCUCUCCUUUUGGAGGGCUGGUCAGCUUCUAGUUGGCCUCAGGGGUGGAUCUGGCUUUCCCAAUUGGUUCACUCCGAUUGGGUUGGCUGAAGCUUAGAGGCUUAAGCAAGGACCCGAUAUGGGCUUCAACUGGAUAGGUAGCACCGGCUUCUGCCGACUACACGAAGUUGUGGCUUGUGGACUUUGCUAGAGGCCAAGCAGGAAACAUGCUUUGCAUGUCUUAAACUUUCGACCUGAGCUCAGGCAAGGCUACCCGCUGAACUUAAGCAUAUCAAUAAGCGGAGGAAAAGAAACUAACAAGGAUGCGCUUAGUAACGGCGAGCGAACCGCGCAAAGCCCAACUUGAAAAUCUCCCUUGGAGAAUUGUAGUCUAUAGAAGUACCCUCUGUAACGGGCGCAGCUCAAGUCUCCUGGAAAGGGGCGUCAGAGAGGGUGAGAACCCCGUAAGCUGUUGCUUCGUUGCCUCACGAGGUGCUUUCAAAGAGUCGGGUUGCUUGGGAAUGCAGCCCAAAUUU
This 1204-nucleotide ribosomal RNA is filed under the name Chlorella sorokiniana. RNAcentral's name for it is "eukaryotic LSU rRNA". The stretch from base 919 to 1204 matches the Rfam family "Eukaryotic large subunit ribosomal RNA", at positions 1 to 294 of the family's 3401-position model. The record is from RNAcentral. Lineage: Eukaryota; Viridiplantae; Chlorophyta; Trebouxiophyceae; Chlorellales; Chlorellaceae.